Molecule: ribosomal RNA, 497 nt
Filed under: uncultured bacterium
Lineage: Bacteria
Description: partial 16S ribosomal RNA
Rfam family: Bacterial small subunit ribosomal RNA
Source: RNAcentral
GAUGAACGCUGGCGGCGUGCCUAAUACAUGCAAGUCGAGCGAACGGACGAGAAGCUUGCUUCUCUGAUGUUAGCGGCGGACGGGUGAGUAACACGUGGAUAACCUACCUAUAAGACUGGGAUAACUUCGGGAAACCGGAGCUAAUACCGGAUGAUAUUUUGAACCGCAUGGUUCAAAAGUGAAAGACGGUCUUGCUGUCACUUAUAGAUGGAUCCGCGCUGCAUUAGCUAGUUGGUAAGGUAACGGCUUACCAAGGCAACGAUGCAUAGCCGACCUGAGAGGGUGAUCGGCCACACUGGAACUGAGACACGGUCCAGACUCCUACGGGAGGCAGCAGUAGGGAAUCUUCCGCAAUGGGUGAAAGCCUGACGGAGCAACGCCGCGUGAGUGAUGAAGGUCUUCGGAUCGUAAAACUCUGUUAUUAGGGAAGAACAUAUGUGCAAGUAACUGUGCACAUCUUGACGGUACCUAAUCAGAAAGCCACGGCUAACUACGUG